This 301-nucleotide ribosomal RNA is filed under the name uncultured bacterium. RNAcentral describes it as "partial 16S ribosomal RNA". It matches the Rfam family "Bacterial small subunit ribosomal RNA", at positions 509 to 807 of the family's 1533-position model. The record is from RNAcentral.
CAGCCGCCGCGGGAAUACGGAGGGUGCAAGCGUUAAUCGGAAUUACUGGGCGUAAAGCGCACGCAGGCGGUCUGUUAAGUCAGAUGUGAAAUCCCCGGGCUCAACCCGGGAACUGCAUUUGAAACUGGCAGGCUUGAGUCUUGUAGAGGGGGGUAGAAUUCCAGGUGUAGCGGUGAAAUGCGUAGAGAUCUGGAGGAAUACCGGUGGCGAAGGCGGCCCCCUGGACAAAGACUGACGCUCAGGUGCGAAAGCGUGGGGAGCAAACAGGAUUAGAUACCCCUGUAGUCCCUGUCUCUUAUAC